UUAAGCGACUAAGCGUACACGGUGGAUGCCCUGGCAGUCAGAGGCGAUGAAGGACGUGCUAAUCUGCGAAAAGCGUCGGUAAGGUGAUAUGAACCGUUAUAGCCGGCGAUGUCCGAAUGGGGAAACCCAGUGCAAUUCGUUGCACUAUCGUUAACUGAAUACAUAGGUUAACGAGGCGAACCGGGGGAACUGAAACAUCUAAGUACCCCGAGGAAAAGAAAUCAACCGAGAUUCCCCCAGUAGCGGCGAGCGAACGGGGAGCAGCCCAGAGUCUGAAUCAGCUUGUGUGUUAGUGGAACGGUCUGGAAAGUCCGACGGUACAGGGUGAUAGUCCCGUACACCAAAAUGCACAGGCUGUGAACUCGAAGAGUAGGGCGGGACACGUGGUAUCCUGUCUGAAUAUGGGGGGACCAUCCUCCAAGGCUAAAUACUCCUGACUGACCGAUAGUGAACCAGUACCGUGAGGGAAAGGCGAAAAGAACCCCGGCGAGGGGAGUGAAAAAGAACCUGAAACCGUGUACGUACAAGCAGUGGGAGCACCUUCGGGUGUGACUGCGUACCUUUUGUAUAAUGGGUCAGCGACUUAUAUUCUGUAGCAAGGUUAACCGUAUAGGGGAGCCGCAGGGAAACCGAGUCUUAACUGGGCGUUAAGUUGCAGGGUAUAGACCCGAAACCCGGUGAUCUAGCCAUGGGCAGGUUGAAGGUUGGGUAACACUAACUGGAGGACCGAACCGACUAAUGUUGAAAAAUUAGCGGAUGACUUGUGGCUGGGGGUGAAAGGCCAAUCAAACCGGGAGAUAGCUGGUUCUCCCCGAAAGCUAUUUAGGUAGCGCCUCGUGAACUCAUCUUCGGGGGUAGAGCACUGUUUCGGCUAGGGGGUCAUCCCGACUUACCAACCCGAUGCAAACUACGAAUACCGAAGAAUGUUAUCACGGGAGACACACGGCGGGUGCUAACGUCCGUCGUGAAGAGGGAAACAACCCAGACCGCCAGCUAAGGUCCCAAAGUCAUGGUUAAGUGGGAAACGAUGUGGGAAGGCACAGACAGCCAGGAUGUUGGCUUAGAAGCAGCCAUCAUUUAAAGAAAGCGUAAUAGCUCACUGGUCGAGUCGGCCUGCGCGGAAGAUGUAACGGGGCUAAACCAUGCACCGAAGCUGCGGCAGCGACACUAUGUGUUGUUGGGUAGGGGAGCGUUCUGUAAGCCUGCGAAGGUGACCUGUGAGGGUUGCUGGAGGUAUCAGAAGUGCGAAUGCUGACAUAAGUAACGAUAAAGCGGGUGAAAAGCCCGCUCGCCGGAAGACCAAGGGUUCCUGUCCAACGUUAAUCGGGGCAGGGUGAGUCGACCCCUAAGGCGAGGCCGAAAGGCGUAGUCGAUGGGAAACAGGUUAAUAUUCCUGUACUUGGUGUUACUGCGAAGGGGGGACGGAGAAGGCUAUGUUAGCCGGGCGACGGUUGUCCCGGUUUAAGCAUGUAGGCUGGUUGUCCAGGCAAAUCCGGAUAAUCAAGGCUGAGGUGUGAUGACGAGGCACUACGGUGCUGAAGUAACAAAUGCCCUGCUUCCAGGAAAAGCCUCUAAGCAUCAGGUAACAUUAAAUCGUACCCCAAACCGACACAGGUGGUCAGGUAGAGAAUACCAAGGCGCUUGAGAGAACUCGGGUGAAGGAACUAGGCAAAAUGGUGCCGUAACUUCGGGAGAAGGCACGCUGGUGUGUAGGUGAAGUCCCUGCGGAUGGAGCUGAGACCAGUCGAAGAUACCAGCUGGCUGCAACUGUUUAUUAAAAACACAGCACUGUGCAAACACGAAAGUGGACGUAUACGGUGUGACGCCUGCCCGGUGCCGGAAGGUUAAUUGAUGGGGUUAUCCGUAAGGAGAAGCUCUUGAUCGAAGCCCCGGUAAACGGCGGCCGUAACUAUAACGGUCCUAAGGUAGCGAAAUUCCUUGUCGGGUAAGUUCCGACCUGCACGAAUGGCGUAAUGAUGGCCAGGCUGUCUCCACCCGAGACUCAGUGAAAUUGAACUCGCUGUGAAGAUGCAGUGUACCCGCGGCAAGACGGAAAGACCCCGUGAACCUUUACUAUAGCUUGACACUGAACAUUGAGCCUUGAUGUGUAGGAUAGGUGGGAGGCUUUGAAGCGUGGACGCCAGUCUGCGUGGAGCCAACCUUGAAAUACCACCCUUUAAUGUUUGAUGUUCUAACGUUGGCCCCUGACCGGGGUUGCGGACAGUGUCUGGUGGGUAGUUUGACUGGGGCGGUCUCCUCCCAAAGCGUAACGGAGGAGCACGAAGGUUAGCUAAUCCUGGUCGGACAUCAGGAGGUUAGUGCAAUGGCAUAAGCUAGCUUGACUGCGAGCGUGACGGCGCGAGCAGGUGCGAAAGCAGGUCAUAGUGAUCCGGUGGUUCUGAAUGGAAGGGCCAUCGCUCAACGGAUAAAAGGUACUCCGGGGAUAACAGGCUGAUACCGCCCAAGAGUUCAUAUCGACGGCGGUGUUUGGCACCUCGAUGUCGGCUCAUCACAUCCUGGGGCUGAAGUAGGUCCCAAGGGUAUGGCUGUUCGCCAUUUAAAGUGGUACGCGAGCUGGGUUUAGAACGUCGUGAGACAGUUCGGUCCCUAUCUGCCGUGGGCGCUGGAGAAUUGAGGGGGGCUGCUCCUAGUACGAGAGGACCGGAGUGGACGCAUCACUGGUGUUCGGGUUGUCAUGCCAAUGGCACUGCCCGGUAGCUAAAUGCGGAAGAGAUAAGUGCUGAAAGCAUCUAAGCACGAAACUUGCCCCGAGAUGAGUUCUCCCUGAGACUUUAAGUCUCCUGAAGGAACGUUGAAGACGACGACGUUGAUAGGCCGGGUGUGUAAGCGCAGCGAUGCGUUGAGCUAACCGGUACUAAUGAACCGUGAGGCUUAACCUU
This 2900-nucleotide ribosomal RNA is filed under the name Klebsiella pneumoniae BIDMC 46b. RNAcentral's name for it is "bacterial LSU rRNA". It matches the Rfam family "Bacterial large subunit ribosomal RNA". The record is from RNAcentral. Lineage: Bacteria; Pseudomonadati; Pseudomonadota; Gammaproteobacteria; Enterobacterales; Enterobacteriaceae.